Cinara cedri is the source of this 400-nucleotide non-coding RNA. The record is from the annotation of a GenBank genome assembly. NCBI's taxonomy places the organism in Eukaryota, Metazoa, Arthropoda, Insecta, Hemiptera, Aphididae.
ACCAGCUUUCACGCAUGUACACUGAGUCGCCGUGGUCUGUGAUUGGUCGGCGGUGUUCGGCGAUCGUCGUUACUGCCGUGGUAGGCAGCAGGCUGUCGCCGCAACCGUGCAUACAGAGUAAGUUUUUUUUCCUAGGGGUUUUUUUCGAGGGGUUUUCGUUAAGCGAGUGGGAAAACUUACGGUGAAUACAGUAUAUCGUUUAGCCACUCAUCAGGUGUUAUUCAGACGUUAUUUUUGCGUAAAAACUACUAAACGCGGUAAUAGAUUGUCCCGAGUUGUCGUCUGAAAUUGGUUUUAAAGUUCCUGUCUUUGAUUCCAGAAUUGAAUCUACGUUUCACGUUCCGUUGUUUAGUUCCAGUAUUAUAGCUAAUAGUCCGAUGUGCCGGCUUGCCUAACCAUA